This 402-nucleotide ribosomal RNA is filed under the name Bacteroidota bacterium. RNAcentral describes it as "Bacteroidetes bacterium partial 16S ribosomal RNA". It matches the Rfam family "Bacterial small subunit ribosomal RNA", at positions 355 to 776 of the family's 1533-position model. Lineage: Bacteria; Pseudomonadati; Bacteroidota. The record is from RNAcentral.
UGGGGAAUUUUGCACAAUGGGGGAAACCCUGAUGCAGCGACGCCGCGUGAUUUAGAAGGCCUUCGGGUUGUAAAAAUCUUUUUUAUGGGAUGAAAAUGACAGUACCAUAAGAAUAAGGUCCGGCUAAAUACGUGCCAGCAGCCGCGGUAAUACGUAUGGACCGAGCGUUGUCCGGAAUCAUUGGGCGUAAAGGGUACGUAGGCGGCCCAGUAAGUUAGAAGUGAAAUAAUAUAGCUCAACUAUAUAAAGCUUUUAAAACUGCUAGGCUUGAGGGAUGGAAGGGAAAGUGGAAUUCCUGGUGUAGCGGUGAAAUGCGCAGAUAUUAGGAAGAAUACCGGUGGCGAAGGCGACUUUCUGGUCAUCAUCUGACGCUGGGGUACGAAAGCGUGGGUAGCAAACAGG